This 310-nucleotide ribosomal RNA is filed under the name uncultured bacterium. Its description in RNAcentral is "partial 16S ribosomal RNA". It matches the Rfam family "Bacterial small subunit ribosomal RNA", at positions 503 to 809 of the family's 1533-position model. The record is from RNAcentral.
AAGAGACAGCAGCAGCCACGGUAAUACGUAGGGUGCGAGCGUUAAUCGGAAUUACUGGGCGUAAAGCGUGCGUAGGUGGUUUAUUAAGUUGGAUGUGAAAUCCCCGGGCUCAACCUGGGAACUGCAUUCAAAACUGACUGACUAGAGUAUGGUAGAGGGUGGUGGAAUUUCCUGUGUAGCGGUGAAAUGCGUAGAUAUAGGAAGGAACACCAGUGGCGAAGGCGACCACCUGGACUAAUACUGACACUUAGGUGCGAAAGCGUGGGGAGCAAAUAGGAUUAGAUACCCCUGUAGUCCCUGUCUCUUAUAA